This 258-nucleotide ribosomal RNA is filed under the name uncultured prokaryote. RNAcentral describes it as "partial 16S ribosomal RNA". It matches the Rfam family "Bacterial small subunit ribosomal RNA", at positions 521 to 777 of the family's 1533-position model. The record is from RNAcentral.
UAACACGUAGGGGGCGAGCGUUGUCCGGAUUCAUUGGGCGUAAAGAGCUCGUAGGCGGUGUGUCGCGUCGGUCGUGAAAACUUGGGGCUUAACCCUGAGCGUGCGGUCGAUACGGGCAUCACUUGAGUUCGGCAGGGGAGACUGGAAUUCCUGGUGUAGCGGUGAAAUGCGCAGAUAUCAGGAGGAACACCGGUGGCGAAGGCGGGUCUCUGGGCCGAUAUUGACGCUGAGGAGCGAAAGCGUGGGGAGCGAACAGGA